CAUUAUUUAAGCAAUUUCAAACAACAAAAACGCAUUAAAACAUUUAUCAUGUAUACAUAAUAAUUCACGCAGUAGAGGGUCAAAUCAAAUAUAAAAAUGGUCACUAAAUUCUCAGAAUAGAACUGAGUUCAUUAUGAAAAGCACUUUUCUCAUCAUGAUGUUCAAGAAUUUUAUUAGAUGGUCAUCAGUGCAGUCCUGUUGUGGAUCUUCUUCCACGGUCACUCAGAAUCUCUCAAACUCCAUAACAAGAUCUCUCUCAGAGAUCCUGGACUCUCAGAUCCUGGAAUCGAUAGUUUCAAGAGGCGUAGAGUAAAAGACAAACUCGCUCAUGAGGUUUUUACUCAGAGAGACAGUGAUUUAGAUCGUAGUUCACCGUCUGUAGAUGAACCUACCACUGAAAAUGAAGGUUUGAUGGAGAUUCGAGAUGUUUAAAUACACAUUUUACUGGUUAAUCAUUACAGUUAAACCAGAACACAAACGGAGCCACAAUUGCAGUGAGAAGAGCUUCCGUGUUCGUUGUUUAUAUUCAGUGUGGAGCUGCAAUGAACCAGCAAACACACAACCGUGUCACAACAUAGCUGUGUUUGGAGGGAAACUACUAACAGAGAAAAGAGCAGAGCAACUUCCUGCAGAGCGGACAAACGCAACAGCACCAUUUUCACUUCGUAUUAUAAACCAAACAGGAAAGAAGCUUCUACCCACACAUCGCUCUUCUUACUCAGACCUGCACUGUCUUUCUGUCUUUAAACACAUUGAUCUCUUUAUCAAUAUGACGUUUGUGUCUAUUAGACUUCAUGAUGUUCAUGAUGUUCCUACGUUUCUCCAGGUUUCCACCAAAGUUCAAGCAGCUCAGAUGAAGAAAGCUGGAAGAUUAAUGGUUUAAUCUGACUGAGUUUGAGAAAACAUGAUAAUCUUAAACGUGAUAGUUUCUGUUUAAACUGGACUCAUAUUUGAUUUAGUAGAAGGUGUUUGAGUUGAACUCUUUAUUUUAAUGAAGAUUUCAUCACUAAUAUCAGCCUUGCUGAGUCACAGAUGCAGCACCUGUUACUCACAGUGAUGAUUUAUCUCCAUUAAAAAUACACUGUGGUUACUCUAUUCUGUAUAAACUGUUCAUUCUGUUCACACUAAAAAGGUCAGUAUUGUUUAUCAGCAAAAUUCAUACAGUGUAAAUAUUCACUGUUUAUAUUUCUGUUUAUAUUUUUACAUUUAAGUGAAUCUAUUUCCAUAAUCUGUUCAGUUUCCUGCUUGUUUGUUUGUUUGUGCUGUGUUUCUACUCAGUCCCUGAUCAAGUUAAAGACCCUCGGCACAAAUGUCUGGUGGGUUCCUACUUGGCUACCUUUUUUGGGUGGUCAGUGAUUUUUUCAUGAUUUCACAGCAGGUUCUACGAGGCCUGUGCAGCACCACUAACCGCAGUGUUGGUUGGGUCACUGUUAUAAAUGCAUAUUUUUUCCAACCAAGACAAAAAAUAGCAAGAAAAAAUGUACAACAUAUAUAAACACAAUAAAGAGAAUAGGUUAAUGAAACCUAACAACCAAUACAACCUUUCCCAAUGAAGCAAUGCGUCCACUCUUCCCAAUGAAGACCACAAAUUACAACUGGACAGCUGGAAAACCAUCAAGCGCCCUAACUAAAUCAUACUGCCACCACUGAAAGAUUCUUCUUUUUUUUGCAGAUCACUACAAACUACCAUUAGACGGGGGCUGCGUCCAAAACAGCACAUUACUGUUAUAUAUAACAUGUCAAAACUAGUGCACUACCAGUCAUUAGUCCAUUCAUUAGUAUAGUAUAUAUAGUACAGUAAUAUGUGGUUUAGGACUGUUACCAUCAAUUAUUCUCACAAAUACCUAGUUUGUGUGUAUAAAUCAACACUGGUGCACUAAUAUGUCUGUCAGAGAGACGGAAAACACUGCAGACACUGAACUACAUCUGUAGCUGUUUCAGUGCAACCGUAUUUACAGCAGAUCUUAUAUUACAAACAAUACGUGUUGAUGUCUCAAACAUGCAGCAGCAGGGACUGUCCCAAGCUGAAGAGCUGAACAGCUUGAAGCCGGCACUGUUAUUUGAUUGGCUGUGAUGGAGGGCCUGUUCUCCACCCCCUUCACUAUGUUUCCUAGAAUCUGCUCUCUGCGGUGCACUCUGCGUAGCGGAAAUGCGCCUCCCACUAAAAAAAACUGUGGUUGGAGACACAGCGGUGAAUUUUCAGCAACAGAGAGUUUCACAGCAUGUUCUCUGAGUCGGACCUGCUGAAAGAUUGGAGCUGUGAGAACAUCAGCACCUGCUGAUGGAGGAAAACGGGGGACAGUCUCAGCAGAGGAGAGGAAGAGUGAGAGAGGAGAGAAAGAAGAUGAAUGAACAGACUUUAACAGAGUCUAAUGAAGAUGUGAGAGAAGAGCUGAGAGUCCACAGAGAGAGCCGAGCAGACAGAGAGAAAGAAACUGAUGAGUGUGAUGUGAGGAGAGAGAGAGAGAGCAGUGAUAAAAGGAGGAGCAAAAGUCUGAAUCGACUCUCUGAUUUCAGAGGUUUCCACCAAAGUUCAAGCAGCUCAGAUGAAGAAAGCUGGAAGAUUAAUGGUUUAAUUGUGUUUGAGAAAACUUGUUACUCACAGUGAUGAUUUAUGUCUAUUACACUGUCGUUACUCUGUUCUGUAUAUACUGUUCAUUCUGUUCACUGAAACAGUCAGUAGUUUAUCAGCAGAAUUCAGCGUAAAUAUUCACUGUUAUAUUUUAUUUUCAUUUCUUUUUUUAUAUUUUUACAUUUACUGGAUCUGUAUUCAUAAUCCGUAGAAAGUGUUCUUUUAUGUGUUUUUCUAUUCUUCAUUUCUCUGUUUCAUUUAUUAUUAUUACAGCAGUCUAAUGUGAUGCUGCUGCAGAAGUGUGAACGGUCUUUAUUGGCCAAUAAAAUGUUCCGUUUCCUGCUU
Molecule: long non-coding RNA, 2917 nt
Organism: Colossoma macropomum (tambaqui)
Lineage: Eukaryota; Metazoa; Chordata; Actinopteri; Characiformes; Serrasalmidae
Exons: 3
Source: RefSeq, a predicted model, not a curated record